Molecule: ribosomal RNA, 492 nt
Filed under: uncultured bacterium
Lineage: Bacteria
Description: partial 16S ribosomal RNA
Rfam family: Bacterial small subunit ribosomal RNA
Source: RNAcentral
AGUGAACGCUGGCGGUAGGCCUAACACAUGCAAGUCGAACGGCAGCACAGUAAGAGCUUGCUCUUACGGGUGGCGAGUGGCGGACGGGUGAGGAAUACAUCGGAAUCUACUUUUUCGUGGGGGGUAACGUAGGGAAACUUACGCUAAUACCGCAUACGACCUACGGGUGAAAGCAGGGGAUCUUCGGACCUUGCGCGAUUGAAUGAGCCGAUGUCGGAUUAGCUAGUUGGCGGGGUAAAGGCCCACCAAGGCGACGAUCCGUAGCUGGUCUGAGAGGAUGAUCAGCCACACUGGAACUUAGACACGGUCCAGACUCCUACGGGAGGCAGCAGUGGGGAAUAUUGGACAAUGGGCGCAAGCCUGAUCCAGCCAUACCGCGUGGGUGAAGAAGGCCUUCGGGUUGUAAAGCCCUUUUGUUGGGAAAGAAAAGCAGCAGGUUAAUACCCCGCUGUUCUGACGGUACCCAAAGAAUAAGCACCGGCUAACUUCGUG